GAAUAACAGAGGCACUGGAGGAGAGAGAGAGAGAGAGAGAGCGACAGAGAGAUUUGGAUGUGCUUGUGGAGGAGGAGUGUGUGUAGGAAAAUCUUAAUUGUAUGUACGAACACAGCUUCACAAAUGCACUCUACUAGCGGGUUAUGUUGCGACUAGAAAGCAACUGAGAUAUGGAGGAGGAGUUGCUUAUUCCGGCUAUUAUACGUGACAAAUGUUAAUGUACGGCUGAACCGCACACUUUAACCCCUGCGGUGUCCCUGGGAGGAGCCCGUGACCCAAAUGCGCUGUUGGAAAGCGGCAGAUUUGAGAGUGAUUUACUGUGAAAAGGUCACCAUCUGCCCGCAGCGGAUCCAGAUCCCGGAGCCUCCUGCUCCCUUCUGAGGGCACUCAUGCUGUAUGGGCACAGAGCCCACCUCAGCGGCGCCCACUGCUGUUCCCGCAAAGUUCAGCUGAUCAAACACACACACACAACAGAGUCUGGCUGCAGACACGAUCUGCAGAAAUGAGAUCUGAUGGUUUGGGCAGCCCUGGGCUACAUUAUAGCCUACACAGAGCAGGUUUGCGUUUUUUGGAUGAAUGAUCUGUCUUGAUGUGAUGAAACAUGUCCAUACGCAUCAUUACAGAUCGAUAUUGUUCAUUUAUUACUUUGUAUUGUUAUAAAUAAACUAAUAAAUGUCUGUUUUAUUGUC
This is a non-coding RNA of Danio rerio (zebrafish), 689 nucleotides long. NCBI's taxonomy places the organism in Eukaryota, Metazoa, Chordata, Actinopteri, Cypriniformes, Danionidae. The record is from RefSeq and is a predicted model, not a curated record.